UGAAUGAACUGUUAGAUUUUAUGAGAUGAAGGGGGGAUGAUAAUUGGCCAAACAUAUCGGACAAAUGAAAUCAGCAACAUAUAUUGAUCAUCCUGUAUCAGUCGACCUCUAGGUGUGAGUUCAAAUGAUAUGCUCAGUUGUAUGUUUGAGUUUAUUGUAGUCUUUUUGAUCAUCUGAAGCAGAAGGCGAAAGUGAUUCACGGUCUCUUGGAGCUUUUGAAUGUCCUCCAGUAGCUUCUGGUAUCUCAUCAGAUGAUCUCUCUUAUGCUCUGCUCUAUCCUUCUUCUCCUCACAGUGAUUAAGAGAAUCCUGGAGUUCUCUGAUGGUCAGAAGCGAUUUCUCCUGUUCCUCGUGGAGUUUCAGGGAAGACUGGAGCUCGGUGAUGUUCUGGAGGUGUGUGUCGUUUCUAUGAUUUAUGUUCUGUUCACGCUGCUUUUGCUCCAUAGCUAAAGUAGCCUCCAGAGUUUGCACCUUCUGUACCAGAAUGGCUUUCUCUUCUGUUAUCUUCUCUAUUAUCAUAUUAAGAAAUGCAUCCCAAUCUGUAACUCCUUUCUGCAUGUGUUCCAGCUUCUCCUCCUCUUCCUUAAUCUGUUUAUAUGUCUUCUGUCUCCUGCAUUUUUCUCUAAAUCUUCUAAAGAGCUCCAUUUUAGUGUCUCUUUCCUUACAAUGAGUAAAUUCACGAAUGAAAAACAAAAGCAUGAUCUGGCUUAUAAACGCGUGUCAUACUGUGACCUCACACCCCGACGCCCACACGCUUGGUCGAGCUGAAACGGCGAACCGACUCUCCUGAACCUCAUUGUUUUGAAUAGAAGUGACCGAACCGAACUCUCUUGAACCGAGUUACUUGAACUGAAUCUAAGGAGUCGAAUUUACCGAAAUGAAUCUUUUUGUACUGCCGGGAAAGACCCUCUGCCGGGAUAAAACAAACUGUAGACACCUGGAAUGACACAGGAAGACGGAGACAGGACACGGUAUCAGUCUCCUCCAAGCAGCUCGUCCCCUGUAAGGACUCGGUCUCCUCCAAGCAGCUCGUCCCCUGUGAGGACUCGUCUCCUCCAAGCAGCUCGUCCUCUG
Long non-coding RNA from Silurus meridionalis, 1073 nucleotides. RefSeq lists it as uncharacterized. The transcript has 3 exons. Lineage: Eukaryota; Metazoa; Chordata; Actinopteri; Siluriformes; Siluridae. The record is from RefSeq and is a predicted model, not a curated record.